Felis catus (domestic cat) is the source of this 4846-nucleotide RNA transcript. It is a transcript of the gene named G protein-coupled receptor 88, with no coding region annotated. The transcript has 2 exons. Lineage: Eukaryota; Metazoa; Chordata; Mammalia; Carnivora; Felidae. The record is from RefSeq and is a predicted model, not a curated record.
UAACUGACUGAGCCACCCAGGCGCCCCAAAGCUCGUACUUUCAAGGAAUGUACAUUAUCAUGGAGGGUGGGGAAAAAUAAAAAAAAUACUUAACACCUGUCAAAUGCUGUCUUUUAGUCUUAGAUCACUUUGGUCGGAGGGAGGUAAGAUUGCAAGUAGACAUCAGUUAGGAGCUUGUUGGGAUAAUUUAGAGAAGACACGAUUGUUGUCUGAUACCAGGUAGUGGCAGAGUGAAUAGAGAUCAGUGAAUACAUUUAAAAAACAUUAGUGUGGUAGAAUAAUGACACUUGGUGAUUGAUGGGUAUAGGGAGGAAGAGGAAAAAAAAAGAAGGAAUCAAAAAUUACAGCUAGGAUUCUGACUUAGGCAUCAGGAUAAUGGUGAUGCUAGUCACUGAGACUGGAAUAUAGGAGAAGGAGGGACUGGUUUGGAAAGAAGAUGAGGGGAUCAGUUUUGGACCCUGGGGGUUUGAGACGCCCAAAGAACACACGAGUGACAAUGUCCAAGAGGCAAUUUUGUAUACAGGAGGAACUUUAGCCAGGUGGAAACUAUCUCGGGGAUGAGAGCAAAAGCAUUCAGAGGAAAAGGAGGUAGAAGCAGAAACCAAGCUAUUCUUCCAGGAGACGGAGUGAGCUUGUGUAGGCAGCUUGAGAAGGAGAUGAAGAGCAGGGGAAGUUUUUAUUAGAUGGUGGUGAAAGUGGCAUUUUUGAAGCCGAGGGAAAGCAGCCAGUGGGAGUAGAGAGACUAGACACGUAUCACAAGGAUGGCUGAUGGGGCAAGUUCCUGCUGGGUGCAGGAGGCAAGAAGUGGUCAUGAAAAUCACUUAUCAUUUCACCACGGGAAAAAAAUGACAUCAUUUAUAUAGCCAUCCAUUCACUGGCUCAGUAAUUAUUUAUUGAGUACCUUCUACAUGCCAGGCACUGGUCCUGGUGCUGGGAAUGAGCCAGAAAAAAACCCCUCACCCUAUUUUAUGUAAGUUCAGGAGCUUACAACAAAACCCAAACCAAAUACAAAGAAAAACUUGGUCGUUGCCAGGCCAAGGCUAAAGAAGGCAUGGUCUUGGCAGAAAGGUGAGUUACUGCAAGGUACGAGAGCCCCUCAGCAGGGAUUCUGCCCGCACAAGCAACAGCUGGGACCAGGAACCUGGAAUUCAAAUAUCGCCUUGAUGUGAGAGGAAAUCUUAAUCUCAACAAUGAGAUUAGAGGAAUCUCUUUGCAGAGAUUCUAUAAACAAUUAGAGGAAUCUCUUGUGGGCGUGCUGUGCUUGAUGUACUCAGACUCAAUAAAGACAAAUGACGGCAAGCAACGGACAAUGGCUAAUUCUCUUCAACAUCAAUAAACUUGAUAUCUGAACCUUCAGUCCUCUGAAAAGCAAAUCUCUGUUUCUUCUCUUUAAUUCCCCAACUCAACUGAUUCUGCUUAAUUGCUGCCUAAAAGGACUAAACCCAUCAAGUCGUGUUUAGCUCUAACCCCAUUAGAGUUCUUAACAGUCAUUAACUAAUGCGGUUCUUUGAAAGGGCAUGAGGAAGUCCAAGGAGGUACAUCUUGUAGUCUUGCACUCGAUUCUGAAAUGUUCCCCUUGUGGGCAGCCUGGAAAGGACUUAAUGCUGUGUGAUCCAGGACUACAGCACAUGUUAGGUAGGAGGUAGGCUUCCAGAACUAGGGAGGAGAAGGGUUGAAUUUAUGCAUGGGUAUUCACAGAAAGUUUGGGGGGGGAAGGGGGGGGUUGGAAGUCACUGGGUGAAAAGUUCUUAUUUGACAAGAUGUAAAAAUGACCCAUCACAAGGCCAGUUGUUGGACGCUCGGCUUGGAACUCUGGUGUCCUGAAACCCCACCUAGCAUUGUUUUCCCUCAUGCCAGGUUACCAUAUUCCAUAGUCAGUUAAGUUUUCAAAUAAGUAAGUUUCCCAGUGAAAAAUGAUCACUGGGAGGGGGGAGGGGGAAAGACGGUUGGCUUUUAUGGCAAAUUUCCCAUGUGGAAUGGCUGAAUAAAUGCUGCAUCAAAGAAACUUCCAACAUCUGACUGCAAAUCUCCAUCUAAGACCACAAAAUAAAAAGUUCUCAAUAAAGGAAGAGACAUCUUUGUCAUUGACAUUGUGGAUUAUUCAGGUUUCUUUGUUUCUCCCUGACACCUACUUUUACCUUACUUCAUUUUUACCCUCUAACCAUUUCAGUACCCAACACAAGCCAAAUUCUGGAAGGGAGUUCGAUGAGGAGAAUAAAAUAAAAAUUAUUAUUUAAAUUGAGACGUGGGGAUUUUCUGUGGAUAAUUGUCCAUGUUGCAUCUUACCAAAGAAAAUAUGAAUUUCACUUAGGAUAUAAAGUAAUUCUCUCUGAAAGUGUGGGAUGGAAGAGAUCAGUCCUGAGUACUAGAAAUCUAUUUGUCCCUCAGGAAAUUCUUGCCCACCGAACGCAUGAGGCUAGGAUGACAUAUAUUAGGAGCGUAUUAAAUUUUAUUCUAACACUGAUGGGAGGGAAAAAAUGAAGGAAAGAAAAAUGAAGCAGGGUGAAGAAUAAGGUGAUUGAGAGAAAAGAAAAGACAGAGAAACUUGUUAAUUACAGGACUUUCUGAACAAGAUUUUUUUUUUCCCCUUUCACAAGAUAGAAGCUAUUGAAUAAUUCAUGCCAAGCGUGGAAAGGCUGCCUUUUCCCUGGGUGAUGUAUAAGUGAGCACGAGAGAGCUUCGUGUGGGUUCACCACAUCAGCCACCACUCUUGCUUCUGAGCACAGGGUGCUCUCCUCUUGAGCUCAGCUUCUGCUUUUGCAGCCAAGCAUCCUUCCUUCUGCUGCCUGCCUGCCCACCCUUCUGGGCUUGCAGCCUUCUCCAGCCCUGCUGCCAGCUGAGAAACCUCCCUGCAGCUGCUGGGUUCUGCCUAGGACCAUGUGUGUGGAUGUUGCUCGGGAGAAGCAAGCACUUGCUCCUGGCACUGAUCCCAGCUGAGUUUCUCCUGUUGAUUUUGGGACCACAGAUGCUGCUGCUGAGGAGGUAUUUCCUGGCAUCCCUGCCUCCGCUACUGCCAGCUAAGGACCAGCCCAAAAGUAAGGUAUCCCCCAACCCCUCUCCCCUGGCAUUUUCUCCAGCUGGGAUAUCUCUGCUUUGCUUUCUCUUGGAAACUGGGGGCUCCAUCUGGCAAUAUUCCCAACUCUCUCUCUCUCUCUCUCCCUGUGUGUGUGUGUGUGUGUGUGUGUGUGUGUGUGUGUGGUGUUUGGGGGGAGAUGGGGAGACUCUUGGUAUUGCUCUGUCCCAGGGCUUCCCUGGUUCCUGCUGAAUGUAAAGAGGCCUUUCCCCUGGCACUGGAGACAUUUCCGAGGCAGGCACCUGUCAUCUGCCACCCCCGUUCUUCUCGAGCUCCUUCUCUCCCCCUCCCCCAGCCCAUUAUUCUGCUCCAGCCUUUUGUGUCGGUGGCAGAGGGCUGAAGGGAUGUCUUUGCCCUCCCUGCAGGUGGGUGUCAGGAUGGGCCGCGCGGUGAGAAGCUGAUGCUAUCAAGCGAGGUGUGAAGAGUUGGCCAGAAUGACCAACUCCUCCUCCACGUCCACCUCCUCCACCACCGGGGGAUCGCUGCUGCUGCUCUGCGAGGAAGAGGAGUCGUGGGCGGGCCGGCGCAUCCCCGUGUCCCUUCUGUACUCGGGCCUGGCCAUCGGGGGCACGCUGGCCAACGGCAUGGUCAUCUAUCUCGUGUCGUCCUUCCGAAAGCUGCAGACCACCAGCAACGCCUUCAUCGUGAACGGCUGCGCCGCGGACCUCAGCGUCUGCGCCCUCUGGAUGCCGCAGGAGGCGGUGCUCGGGCUCCUGCCCACCGGCUCGGCGGAGCCCCCCGCGGACUGGGACGGCGCCGGCGGCAGCUACCGCCUGCUGCGGGGAGGGCUGCUAGGCCUCGGGCUCACCGUGUCCCUCCUGUCCCACUGCCUGGUGGCCCUGAACCGCUACCUGCUCAUCACCCGGGCGCCUGCCACCUACCAAGCGCUGUACCAGCGGCGCCACACGGCGGGCAUGCUGGCGCUCUCCUGGGCGCUCGCCCUGGGCCUCGUGCUGCUGCUCCCGCCCUGGGCGCCGCGGCCCGGUGCCGCGCCCCCGCGCGUCCACUACCCGGCGCUGCUGGCCGCCGCGGCGCUGCUGGCGCAGACGGCGCUGCUGCUGCACUGCUACCUGGGCAUCGUGCGCCGCGUGCGCGUCAGCGUCAAGCGGGUCAGCGUCCUCAACUUCCACCUGCUGCACCAGCUGCCCGGCUGCGCCGCCGCCGCCGCCGCCUUCCCGGGCGCCCCGCACGCGCCGGGCCCGGGGGGAGCCGCGCACCCGGCGCAGGCCCAGCCCCUGCCGCCCGCGCUGCACCCGCGGCGGGCGCAGCGCCGUCUCAGCGGCCUGUCGGUGCUUCUGCUCUGCUGCGUCUUCCUGCUGGCCACGCAGCCGCUGGUGUGGGUGAGCCUGGCCAGCGGCUUCUCGCUGCCCGUGCCCUGGGGCGUGCAGGCGGCCAGCUGGCUCCUGUGCUGCGCCCUGUCCGCGCUCAACCCGCUGCUCUACACGUGGAGGAACGAGGAGUUCCGUCGCUCGGUGCGCUCCGUCCUGCCCGGCGUCGGCGACGCGGCGGCGGCCGCCGCUGCCGCCACGGCCGUGCCCGCGGUGUCCCAGGCGCAGCUGGGCACCCGCGCCGCCGGCCAGCACUGGUGACCCGGCGGGGCCCCGAGGGAAGCGGAGAUGCCGAGAUGCCGACGUCAGCGUGGCCUCCUGCUCUCGUCAAGUACCCUCUGCCUGAACGAAGACUCCUGCUGGCCGAGCCCGAUAAAUCGGGAAAUCCGAAAGUCAAAACACCGGAAACUUCAAGAACUUGCACACCGACCUUUCAAAAGAGCAG